Solenopsis invicta (red fire ant) is the source of this 75-nucleotide non-coding RNA. Lineage: Eukaryota; Metazoa; Arthropoda; Insecta; Hymenoptera; Formicidae. The record is from Rfam.
GCUCCAGUGGUUGAGGUGGUAAGACAUCGGGACUGGAGAUUCCGGUGGUGCCAGGUUCGAAUCCUGGGUGGGGUG